This 403-nucleotide ribosomal RNA is filed under the name bacterium. RNAcentral describes it as "partial 16S ribosomal RNA". It matches the Rfam family "Bacterial small subunit ribosomal RNA", at positions 355 to 776 of the family's 1533-position model. The record is from RNAcentral.
UGGGGAAUAUUGCACAAUGGAGGGAACUCUGAUGCAGCGACGCCGCGUGAACGAAGAAUGCUUUCGUGUCGUAAAGUUCUUUUAUAUGGGAAGAUAAUGACGGUACCAUAAGAAAAAGCCCCGGCUAACUACGUGCCAGCAGCCGCGGUAAUACGUAGGGGGCUAGCGUUGUCCGGAAUCACUGGGCGUAAAGGGUUCGCAGGCGGAAAUGCAAGUCAGGUGUAAAAGGCAGUAGCUUAACUACUGUAAGCAUUUGAAACUGCAUAUCUUGAGAAGAGUAGAGGUAAGUGGAAUUUUUAGUGUAGCGGUGAAAUGCGUAGAUAUUAAAAAGAAUAACAGUGGCGAAGGCGACUUACUGGGCUCAUUCUGACGCUGAGGAACGAAAGGGUGGGGAGCAAACAGA